AUUGAACGCUGGCGGCAUGCCUUACACAUGCAAGUCGAACGGCAGCACGGGAGCAAUCCUGGUGGCGAGUGGCGAACGGGUGAGUAAAGUAUCGGAACGUGCCCAGUCGUGGGGGAUAACGUAGCGAAAGUUACGCUAAUACCGCAUACGAUCUAUGGAUGAAAGCGGGGGAUCGCAAGACCUCGCGCGAUUGGAGCGGCCGAUAUCAGAUUAGGUAGUUGGUGGGGUAAAGGCUCACCAAGCCGACGAUCUGUAGCUGGUCUGAGAGGACGACCAGCCACACUGGGACUGAGACACGGCCAAGACUCCUACGGGAGGCAGCAGUGGGGAAUUUUGGACAAUGGGCGCAAGCCUGAUCCAGCCAUGCCGCGUGCAGGAUGAAGGCCUUCGGGUUGUAAACUGCUUUUGUACGGAACGAAAAGGUUUGACCUAAUACGUUGGACUCAUGACGGUACCGUAAGAAUAAGCACCGGCUAACUACGUGCCAGCCGCCGCGGUAA
RNAcentral lists this ribosomal RNA (500 nucleotides) under uncultured bacterium. Its description in RNAcentral is "partial 16S ribosomal RNA". It matches the Rfam family "Bacterial small subunit ribosomal RNA", at positions 30 to 523 of the family's 1533-position model. The record is from RNAcentral.